RNAcentral lists this ribosomal RNA (496 nucleotides) under uncultured bacterium. RNAcentral's name for it is "partial 16S ribosomal RNA". It matches the Rfam family "Bacterial small subunit ribosomal RNA", at positions 29 to 507 of the family's 1533-position model. The record is from RNAcentral.
AUGAACGCUGGCGGCGUGCCUAAUACAUGCAAGUCGCGCGAACGGACGAGAAGCUUGCUUCUCUGAUGUUAGCGGCGGACGGGUGAGGAACACGUGGAUAACCUACCUAUAAGACUGGGAUAACUUCGGGAAACCGGAGCUAAUACCGGAUAAUAUUUUGAACCGCAUGGUUCAAAAGUGAAAGACGGGCUUGCUGUCACUUAUAGAUGGAUCCGCGCUGCAUUAGCUAGUUGGUAAGGUAACGGCUUACCAAGGCAACGAUGCAUAGCCGACCUGAGAGGGUGAUCGGCCACACUGGAACUGAGACACGGUCCAGACUCCUACGGGAGGCAGCAGUAGGGAAUCUUCCGCAAUGGGCGAAAGCCUGACGGAGCAACGCCGCGUGAGUGAUGAAGGUCUUCGGAUCGUAAAACUCUGUUAUUAGGGAAGAACAUAUGUGUAAGUAACUGUGCACAUCUUGACGGUACCUAACCAGAAAGCCACGGCUAACUACGUG